RNAcentral lists this ribosomal RNA (433 nucleotides) under uncultured bacterium. Its description in RNAcentral is "partial 16S ribosomal RNA". It matches the Rfam family "Bacterial small subunit ribosomal RNA", at positions 29 to 507 of the family's 1533-position model. The record is from RNAcentral.
AACGAACGCUGGCGGCAUGCCUAACACAUGCAAGUCGAACGAGACCUUUGGGUCUAGUGGCGCACGGGUGCGUAACGCGUGGGAACCUGCCCUUAGGUUCGGAAUAACUCCCCGAAAGGGGUGCUAAUACCGGAUAAUGUCUUCGAACCAAAGAUUUAUCGCCUUUGGAUGGGCCCGCGUUGGAUUAGCUAGUUGGUAGGGUAAAAGCCUACCAAGGCGACGAUCCAUAGCUGGUCUGAGAGGAUGAUCAGCCACACUGGGACUGAGACACGGCCCAGACUCCUACGGGAGGCAGCAGUGGGGAAUAUUGGACAAUGGGCGAAAGCCUGAUCCAGCAAUGCCGCGUGAGUGAUGAAGGCCUUAGGGUUGUAAAGCUCUUUUACCCGGGAUGAUAAUGACAGUACCGGGAGAAUAAGCUCCGGCUAACUCCGUG